RNAcentral lists this transfer RNA (84 nucleotides) under Gammaproteobacteria bacterium. RNAcentral's name for it is "tRNA-Leu". It matches the Rfam family "tRNA". From Rfam's summary of the family: Transfer RNA (tRNA) molecules are approximately 80 nucleotides in length. The record is from RNAcentral. Lineage: Bacteria; Pseudomonadati; Pseudomonadota; Gammaproteobacteria.
GCCACUGUGGUGAAAUUGGUAGACACGAGGGACUCAAAAUCCCUUUCUCGCAAGAGAGUAUCGGUUCGAGUCCGAUCAGUGGUA